This is a long non-coding RNA of Cyprinodon tularosa, 2280 nucleotides long. RefSeq lists it as uncharacterized. Lineage: Eukaryota; Metazoa; Chordata; Actinopteri; Cyprinodontiformes; Cyprinodontidae. The transcript is spliced from 2 exons. The record is from RefSeq and is a predicted model, not a curated record.
UUCUUUUUGUUUCAACAUAAACCUUAGGUUGGUGGUGCAGUGAGAGAAGUAACUGGAUACACUGCCACCUACCGUCACAAGAUUAGUGUGGAAGAAGGGGGAGAGGAUGGUAACUGCUUGCAUAUCAGGAAUGGAUACCACCAUGUAAUCAAGGGAUAUCCCAACUGUGUAGUAGCAGAUGCCGUCAUCAACUUCUUUAUGGCUCAAACGGACAAAAUACGUCAAGUUGGCUUUGACCCCCGCCUGUCAAGAAGUGCACAUCUAGAGUUUUUUAUAGAUGCUCUGGGCAUUCUGCACAUUGGCUCCUGCAGUGAUGUCAUCGUUAACCAUGCAUCAAAGAUCAAGCUGCCGUGGACUAAGACAGAGGCACAGAAGACCUAUGAGAAAUUCAGAUACUCCUCUAACAGUGCAAAUAAUGACCUUCAUAAUGAAGUAUUCUAUUUUAAGAACAGGUUCAAGUGUAUGACUAGCCAAUAAAAAGUGAGCUUCCACUGGUCUUAUAAACUCCUUUUUUUUCGGACUUGGAGUUUUUUUUUAAUCAGUUUAUGAGUUAGGUUUUUUUUUUUUUUUUUACCACAUGCUGUUAAUUUAUAAUAAAGCAGUUGUGUUUAUGUUUUUCAAUUAAAGCACUGAAUAUUUUUAUUUCAUAAAUAAAAUGCCUUUGUAUUUUAUUUGUUUCUCUAAAGUGCAAUUUGCUGUCUGUGCUCUGCGUGUGUAAUUUGAAUUCCACAUCAUCUUUAAGUUUUAGUGCGUCCUUUUUUAAAUCUGUAUGCGUAUCAAGUCCAGGACCAAAGUUGUAUCACACUAGAAAUUAUUUUGAAAAAUUCCAUAAUUUUACCAAAUAGACUACAAAAAAGAAAGAAAUCCUUCACCAACUAAGCUCCUCCAUCUGCUGUCUCAAUAUUUUACCCAUGGCUUCCCUGAAGAAAGCUUUACCUGUCAUAUAUCUGAUUGAACUUAAAUGAUCAAUUUGUCUAUUUUGUGAGGUAUUUUCCCCCAGGCCCUAAAACGGUUACUAUAAAACCAAAAAGGGCUGACUUGGACACAGGGCGUACGCAGGGCCAAAAAAUACUGAGGUCCGGAGGCAGAUCUUCUAGGUGGGUUCGGUGGCCUGCUCCCCUAGAAAUGUUUCUAAUUUAUUUAAAUCUGGCCAUUUUCUGAGUCUUAAGGAGCAUAAACAUAAUUCUUUUGAAAGACUUUUGAAAAGGCUCAGCUGUGAAUUUCUCCUCUCCUGUCUUCCCUGCCAGACAUUUCCGACAUUAUAAACUUGAUUUUAUCAUCUUUCUUUUAAAGCCUCUGACCACGGUGGCUCUUGAACUAAGGCCAAGUCAUCUUUUUUCUGCACACAACCUUGCUGGGUUGAGCUCCGGGAUCCAGCAGAAAUGUAAUACAAAUUCAACAUCCAACACUGAGAAAACAAACGCCUAAUAAAGGUAUCAUUUUCAGCCAAAGAGGUUGCUCACAUAUCAAUCCCUUAAUGAAUGUUGAUUCAGUCGGUGGAAAAUGGUUAAACUUUUGGUUUGAUGUUUUAUUGCUGUCUAAGUUGCAUGCUGGGCAUAAAUCUUCAUGAAAAUGUUUUUUUCUGAUUGUCAACAACUUGAACUGCUCUCCACCUGCAUUAGUAGCUCUUUAUGCUCCUCUUCCAUGGACUGAAGGACUCAUGGGUCGGUAGCUUGUGUUUGGCAAUUACUAGAUGGACAGUGCAUGUUGACAAUGACUUAAGAUGAUUAAACCUUUGGCUCUUCAAAUAUAAAACACCUUGCAGUUUAGUGAGAGACCAAGUUCAUCAUCCCACAGUCAGUUUCACUGCAAUUAUUUUAGUUUAUAUCACAAUUCGAGCAAUAUAUAAAUGAAUAAAUGGUAGUUACAGCCCUACUUGGACAGGCUGCCAACCUCCCUUCAUGAGUUAAAUUAUUCAACAUUUUCCAGUCAUACUUCUCUGCUCAGUACAGAGACUGUUCUUAUCAAGGUGUUCAGUGAUAUCUGUGUAAAUGUAGACUGUGGAAGAAGCAGAUUACUGGUGUUAUGGGACCUUAGUGCACCAUUAAACACUGCUGAUUGUUCCAUUUUAUUAAAGUGCCUGGAAAACUUGGUCUGCCUUUCUGGACUCACUGGACUGUUUUUUAUUCUACUGAAGAACCAGGACUUGUUUGUGUCAGCGGGUAAUCUCUCCUCACAAAGUCACAUGCCAAGAGAGCUGGCAAGAAAGGACAAAAGCAAAGUUUGAACUCUGUAAUUAUGGGCUGACGUAUACAAUAAAUGACCCAGAGCAAUCAACAA